Molecule: ribosomal RNA, 506 nt
Filed under: uncultured bacterium
Lineage: Bacteria
Description: partial 16S ribosomal RNA
Rfam family: Bacterial small subunit ribosomal RNA
Source: RNAcentral
AUUGAACGCUGGCGGCAGGCCUAACACAUGCAAGUCGAACGGUAACAGGAAGCAGCUUGCUGCUUCGCUGACGAGUGGCGGACGGGUGAGUAAUGUCUGGGAAACUGCCUGAUGGAGGGGGAUAACCACUGGAAACGGUAGCUAAUACCGCAUAAUGUCGCAAGACCAAAGAGGGGGACCUUCGGGCCUCUUGCCAUCGGAUGUGCCCAGAUGGGAUUAGCUAGUAGGUGGGGUAACGGCUCACCUAGGCGACGAUCCCUAGCUGGUCUGAGAGGAUGAACAGCCACACUGGAACUGAGACACGGUCCAGACUCCUACGGGAGGCAGCAGUGGGGAAUAUUGCACAAUGGGCGCAAGCCUGAUGCAGCCAUGCCGCGUGUAUGAAGAAGGCCUUCGGGUUGUAAAGUACUUUCAGCGGGGAGGAAGGCGAUAAGGUUAAUAACCUUGUCGAUUGACGUUAUCCGCAGAAGAAGCACCGGCUAACUCCGUGCCAGCAGCCGCCGUAA